CCCGUUCUAAGACUACUCUAACUUAGCAUGCUUAAUUUUAUUAACCUUUUGAGGUUAACCACUACAAAAAAAGAUAUAGCCGGUUUAAGAAUUUUAGCUCUAUUAUAUCUUAUAUAUAGUACUACCAGGAUCUCACAUUCUUUAAUUCCCUUUAAGCCCUGACAUUAUCAUCAGAUUCAAACUCACAAGUAUUAGACCAUGUGAUACUCAUCUCACUAGCCUUAAUCGACCUUAUGGGAGAGCCGCGCUCUACUCACAACAGUCAUCGGGAUGAAAACCUCGCUCUCCUCGCUGUAUAACCUGACUUAAUUAGUCAAGACUCAUCUCACAUUUUCGGCUGAUAAUUGACUUUGAUACCAACUGUGGUGUUCCACUUUCCGGGGGUCAUCCAUCAUAGAACUACUCUAGCUUAGCAUGCUUAACUCUCUUAACCUCUUGGGUCUAACCAUCGUCCAAAAUGCUAUAGUCGGGCUAAAAGUUUUAGUCCUAUUAUAUUUUAUAUAUAUAAACUAUCUGUGGUCUCACAUUGGAAAUAAUUAACUAGUUCAAUCAAUAAAU
RNAcentral lists this long non-coding RNA (558 nucleotides) under Ananas comosus (pineapple). Its description in RNAcentral is "long non-coding RNA (ACOM_LNC004891)". Lineage: Eukaryota; Viridiplantae; Streptophyta; Magnoliopsida; Poales; Bromeliaceae. The record is from RNAcentral.